Eublepharis macularius is the source of this 72-nucleotide non-coding RNA. NCBI's taxonomy places the organism in Eukaryota, Metazoa, Chordata, Lepidosauria, Squamata, Eublepharidae. The record is from the annotation of a RefSeq genome assembly.
GGGAUUGUAGCUCAGUGGCAGAACAUCUGCCCAGCAUGCAGAAGGCCCCAGGUUCAAACCCUGGCAUCUCCA